This is a long non-coding RNA of Xenia sp. Carnegie-2017, 370 nucleotides long. RefSeq lists it as uncharacterized. Lineage: Eukaryota; Metazoa; Cnidaria; Anthozoa; Malacalcyonacea; Xeniidae. The transcript is spliced from 2 exons. The record is from RefSeq and is a predicted model, not a curated record.
AUUUUAUAGUUUACCAGUUGAUGUUUGCAAGCUCCCGUGAAUGGUACCCUUUGAAUUUAUCUUAAAACAUGCGAACUUACAUGAAGUACAUCAUGUCAUUGGGUCCAUUAGUCACUGUGGAUACGGUGGAUACCAAAUCAUUCCAACUAACGUAGAAAAAUUUUAAAAGCUUUACUUCCUGUUUUGUAGUUAUGAAUGUGGAAUGCUCUGUAACACGCAUUAUUCAUUUUUAUGAAUCAUUAUAAUUCAAAAAGAGUCUGAAUGUCACAAUGUGUUUAAUUGCUGAGAAAUUCUUUAAAAAGUGCUUAAAAAAUAGAGAGAAUAAAAUACAACUUUAUUAAUGUUUUUGUGAUUUCAACCUUUUUGUCUA